RNAcentral lists this ribosomal RNA (253 nucleotides) under uncultured bacterium. Its description in RNAcentral is "partial 16S ribosomal RNA". It matches the Rfam family "Bacterial small subunit ribosomal RNA", at positions 524 to 776 of the family's 1533-position model. The record is from RNAcentral.
UACGGAGGGUGCAAACGUUGCUCGGAAUCAUUGGGCGUAAAGCGCACGUAGGCGGACUGUUAAGUCGGAUGUGAAAUCCCUCAGCUUAACUGAGGAAGUGCACUCGAAACUGGCAGUCUUGAAUAUGGAAGAGGGUCGCGGAAUUCCCGGUGUAGAGGUGAAAUUCGUAGAUAUCGGGAGGAACACCAGUGGCGAAGGCGGCGACCUGGGCCAAUAUUGACGCUGAGGCGCGAAAGCGUGGGUAGCAAACAGG